This 304-nucleotide ribosomal RNA is filed under the name uncultured bacterium. RNAcentral describes it as "partial 16S ribosomal RNA". It matches the Rfam family "Bacterial small subunit ribosomal RNA", at positions 509 to 809 of the family's 1533-position model. The record is from RNAcentral.
CAGCAGUCGCCGCGGUAAUACGGAGGGAGCUAGCGUUGUUCGGAAUUACUGGGCGUAAAGCGCGCGUAGGCGGUUACUCAAGUCAGAGGUGAAAGCCCGGGGCUCAACCCCGGAACUGCCUUUGAAACUAGGUGACUAGAAUCUUGGAGAGGUCAGUGGAAUUCCGAGUGUAGAGGUGAAAUUCGUAGAUAUUCGGAAGAACACCAGUGGCGAAGGCGGCUCACUGGACUGGUAUUGACGCUGAGGUGCGAAAGCGUGGGGAGCAAACAGGAUUAGAUACCCGCGUAGUCCCUGUCUCUUAUAA